CAACACUGGUCUUCACCCUCCGGUGGAUUCUCCUCCUGUACACCGCAGCAGUGGAGGAAUCUUCCAUCAUUCCUGACGCCAUCCGCCCUGCACUCGGACGCUUCAAAGGCUCUUCUCUCACGUCUGCUUCUGGAGUUCUAAGCUCACCUGUGCAUCUGGCGGCCCACUCAAAUAUUCUACCUUCCUAAUAAACACUUUAAUUGUGA
Oryzias melastigma (Indian medaka) is the source of this 206-nucleotide long non-coding RNA. RefSeq lists it as uncharacterized. Lineage: Eukaryota; Metazoa; Chordata; Actinopteri; Beloniformes; Adrianichthyidae. The transcript has 2 exons. The record is from RefSeq and is a predicted model, not a curated record.